CACCAACAAAGGUUUGAAUGGAAAAUAUAAAAGAAUAACUAAGAUCUAUUUGAUAAUAAUUUUGUUUUUAAUUUAGAACACUACUUUCACCUAUAACGUUCUUUGAUGUUAUCAACUUUCUGUCAACAUUUUGAAUUUUACUGAAAAUUCAAAUAUUUGUUUAAGAAAGGUGAAAACCGUACUAAAAAAAUGUGAGAAAAAAACAUAAAUUACAAAAGCAGAAAGCUAAAAAUGAAAGCACUAUCCAAGAGGCCUAAAUAUUCACAAAUAGGCACAUCACAUAUGACCACGUUACUCCAAACACUAAAAUUCAGCAACUGAAGGAAAAGAAAAAACAUUCAAAGGGCGCAAGAAAAGUAGUGCAGUUCCUAUAUUCAGUAGAACAGUCGUAAUAUUCGAUCAUUUCUGCACACUACGCAAAAAGAAGGCAUUUCAAGUCAAUCUCUCCUGACUCCGUGCAAUAAUAUCGCAUGAUUUUUCAAACCAUGAAACACGAUGUGUAAAUAGCCGUCAUAUGAGGUAGGAGUUGAGAGUAAUAAAGCAAGCCAUUUCAGCAUAAAAAAUAAGUACUACAACGGUGUACUUCCACUUCUUCAUCCUUGAAAAGCAUAGAUGUCAUGAAGUCCAAGAUUUUCAAUUGUUUAAUAUCACCAUAAUUUAAUAGGAUAUUCAAUUUUGAAGAAUGUGAUUCCAACACA
This is a long non-coding RNA of Cucurbita moschata (crookneck pumpkin), 698 nucleotides long. RefSeq lists it as uncharacterized. The transcript is spliced from 2 exons. The record is from RefSeq and is a predicted model, not a curated record. Lineage: Eukaryota; Viridiplantae; Streptophyta; Magnoliopsida; Cucurbitales; Cucurbitaceae.